UAGCAGGCCUACUGUACGUUCUAUCGUGUCAAUUGUCAUGUCAAGCAGCUGUCAUAUGUCACGAAAUAGCUUCCAUAUGUCACGAUAUAGCUGUCAUAAUAUUAUGUA
This is a long non-coding RNA of Aricia agestis (brown argus), 108 nucleotides long. RefSeq lists it as uncharacterized. The transcript is spliced from 3 exons. NCBI's taxonomy places the organism in Eukaryota, Metazoa, Arthropoda, Insecta, Lepidoptera, Lycaenidae. The record is from RefSeq and is a predicted model, not a curated record.